GACGAACGCUGGCGGCGUGCUUAACACAUGCAAGUCGAACGGAAAGGCCCUGCUUUUGUGGGGUGCUCGAGUGGCGAACGGGUGAGUAACACGUGAGUAACCUGCCCUUGACUUUGGGAUAACUUCAGGAAACUGGGGCUAAUACCGGAUAGUAGCUCCUGCUGCAUGGUGGGGGUUGGAAAGUUUCGGCGGUUGGGGAUGGACUCGCGGCUUAUCAGCUUGUUGGUGGGGUAGUGGCUUACCAAGGCUUUGACGGGUAGCCGGCCUGAGAGGGUGACCGGCCACAUUGGGACUGAGAUACGGCCCAGACUCCUACGGGAGGCAGCAGUGGGGAAUGUUGCACAAUGGGCGGAAGCCUGAUGCAGCAACGCCGCGUGCGGGAUGACGGCCUUCGGGUUGUAAACCGCUUUCGCCUGUGACGAAGCGUGAGUGACGGUAAUGGGUAAAGAAGCACCGGCUAACUACGUG
RNAcentral lists this ribosomal RNA (468 nucleotides) under uncultured bacterium. RNAcentral's name for it is "partial 16S ribosomal RNA". It matches the Rfam family "Bacterial small subunit ribosomal RNA", at positions 28 to 507 of the family's 1533-position model. The record is from RNAcentral.